GAUGAACGCUAGCGGCAGGCUUAACACAUGCAAGUCGAGGGGUAACAUUGUAGCUUGCUACAGAUGACGACCGGCGCACGGGUGCGUAACGCGUAUACAAUCUACCUUGUACUGAGGGAUAGCCUUUGGAAACGAAGAUUAAUACCUCAUAGUAUUGCAGUAUCGCAUGAUACAGUAAUUAAAGGUUACGGUAUAAGAUGAGUAUGCGUCCUAUUAGCUAGAUGGUGUGGUAACGGCACACCAUGGCGACGAUAGGUAGGGGCCCUGAGAGGGGGAUCCCCCACACUGGUACUGAGACACGGACCAG
This 307-nucleotide ribosomal RNA is filed under the name uncultured bacterium. Its description in RNAcentral is "bacterial SSU rRNA". It matches the Rfam family "Bacterial small subunit ribosomal RNA", at positions 28 to 334 of the family's 1533-position model. The record is from RNAcentral.